Molecule: ribosomal RNA, 497 nt
Filed under: uncultured bacterium
Lineage: Bacteria
Description: partial 16S ribosomal RNA
Rfam family: Bacterial small subunit ribosomal RNA
Source: RNAcentral
GAUGAACGCUGGCGGCGUGCCUAAUACAUGCAAGUCGAGCGAACAGACGAGGAGCUUGCUCCUCUGACGGUAGCGGCGGACGGGUGAGUAACACGUGGAUAACCUACCUAUAAGACUGGGAGAACUUCGGGAAACCGGAGCUAAUACCGGAUAAUAUAUUGAACCGCAUGGUUCAAUAGUGAAAGACGGUUUUGCUGUCACUUAUAGAUGGAUCCGCGCCGCAUUAGCUAGUUGGUAAGGUAACGGCUUACCAAGGCAACGAUGCGUAGCCGACCUGAGAGGGUGAUCAGCCACACUGGAACUGAGACACGGUCCAGACUCCUACGGGAGGCAGCAGUAGGGAAUCUUCCGCAAUGGGCGAAAGCCUGACGGAGCAACGCCGCGUGAGUGAUGAAGGUCUUCGGAUCGUAAAACUCUGUUAUUAGGGAAGAAAAAAUGUGUAAGUAACUAUGCACGUCUUGACGGUACCUAAUCAGAAAGCCACGGCUAACUACGUG